Molecule: long non-coding RNA, 1616 nt
Organism: Oncorhynchus tshawytscha (Chinook salmon)
Lineage: Eukaryota; Metazoa; Chordata; Actinopteri; Salmoniformes; Salmonidae
Source: Ensembl
GUUUCAAGGCUUACCUUCAAACUCAGUGCCUCUUUGCUUGACAUCAUGGGAAAAUCAAAAGAAAUCAGCCAAGACCUCAUAAAACAAUUGUAGACCUCCACAAGUCUGGUUCAUCCUUGGGAGAAAUUUCCAAACACCUGAAGGUAAACUUCCGGAAGUGAAUGAAUGGAAGUGGAUGAUCGUAGACCCCACACCCCCUUCAACAUGCAUACUAUAAACAGACCAAUCUAAUCUUGUCUCCUCUUAUCUUUGGUUGGUGCGGAAAAAAACAAGCAUGGCGUCGCGCAGAAACUACUGUCAUGACUGUCCUGAUCAGGUCAGGUUACAGGAGACCACAACCCUACAGAUUGUCUCUCAACCCCAACAGAGGAGGAGAGAUCUAGGGCUCUGAAGAUGUGGGGGGUUUAUUGGCCUCUCAGGCCACAGACAAAUUCCUUUGUCCUGUUACUAUGGAGAACCAGCCUCAGAACAUUAAACAUGAACUAAAGGGACUUUGGAACAAUGGUUUUCGUCAGCCACAAUGGUGGUCAUGACGAUAGAUGGAAUAUGAAAAUGUAUGUCAGUUUUGUUCUGUUAUUAAAGGUUAAUAGAUGACGUUAUUACGAAAACAUUGUAAUGUGAAGGGUUUUCCUAGUAUAUGUUUGAUAUUUAUACAUUGUACGUUGUAUGUAAAAUAUCCAAAUCAAAGAUAAUGUUUUGGGGAAGAUGAAAUGUUAAGUUAGUUGUCUAAAAUUGGAUUUGAGUAAAAUCUGGACCUUGCCUCUUUAACUUGGUACGCCCAGAGAAUUGCCCUAAAGGCGGCUACGCCCACUUCUGACCCAAGGUUAUAAAACCUGUGAGUAUAGAAUUUUCGACAGGACUAUGUGACCCCAGCUGCAGCAAGGUCUAAAAAAGUAAACAAACCCAGAACGCGACUCAAGUUUGAAGACAAAGAAAUCCUUUUCUGCCCAAACUACGGAUGAGUAGCUGUGUCUAAGCGGGUGAAUUCAGGUCGAACCACCUAGCCUCCAUCUCCCAUCGAAUCGUGGUAUCUAAAGGGUUUCAUUCCUAUGCUGUGAGCUCUGAGCUACAGAGCUGUCUGCCCUCAGAAGACCCCUUCCAGAGAGUGAGGAAACAGACUCCUAAGCCAAAAAGGACACUGACAUUGGGAGGUUGAGCAGGGAGGUGCGCAGGAGAAGUGCGUCAUCGAACAGCGGAACAGUGCACGCAGAGAAUCCUCUGAGAUCAUCUCCACGUAAUUACAUCAUUAUAUUCUGACCCAUAAGAGCGGCAGUUUGGGGCAAGGCUAGGGUUAGAAUAGCAUAGCUGACAAAUUCACCCAAAUGUAUAUUUCUCGUGUACUUUCUUUUUUCUCUCUCUUUUGAAAUCCUCAUUGUGGGUAAUAUGCGCCAUAGUGCUUUGGCCCGUUAUACUAAGUUCUAAUCAAUAGCCUAUAAUGUGUUUUGUCUGUGUAUCUUUUAUCAUCAUUUUAGCUUUUUAGUAAAAUAAAUAUUGAACUAAGAUUGGUGUGGUACGAAUUCAUUAGUGAGACCCGGGUUCGUGCAGAUUCACGGGCUAUACGACGUUCAGCACGAGAUUGGUAGAGGUAACUGGUUAAUUAGCGUCUGUUGUAAAAU